UGGCAAAAAUAGGAACAAGUAUGAGUAAAGAGAGAAAAAGAGAAGAGGCUGGAAAAGAGUGCCUUUUAUUUGUUUUUCUUUCUUUUUUCAAUUUGUUACUUUGCUUUGUUGCAUACU
RNAcentral lists this non-coding RNA (117 nucleotides) under Palpitomonas bilix. The record is from RNAcentral.